RNAcentral lists this ribosomal RNA (476 nucleotides) under uncultured soil bacterium. Its description in RNAcentral is "bacterial SSU rRNA". It matches the Rfam family "Bacterial small subunit ribosomal RNA", at positions 26 to 517 of the family's 1533-position model. The record is from RNAcentral.
AGGACGAACGCUGGCGGCGUGCUUAACACAUGCAAGUCGAACGGUGACCUCGGAGCUUGCUCCGGGCGAUCAGUGGCGAACGGGUGAGUAACACGUGAGCAACCUGCCCCUGGCUCUGGGAUAACCCCGGGAAACCGGAGCUAAUACCGGAUACGAGACCGAAUGGCAUCUUUACGGUCUGGAAAGUUUUUCGGCCAGGGAUGGGCUCGCGGCCUAUCAGCUUGUUGGCGGGGUAAUGGCCCACCAAGGCGACGACGGGUAGCCGGCCUGAGAGGGCGACCGGCCACACUGGGACUGAGACACGGCCCAGACUCCUACGGGAGGCAGCAGUGGGAAUAUGCGCAAUGGGCGAAAGCCUGACGCAGCGACGCCGCGUGAGGAUGAAGGCCUUCGGGUGUAAACCUCUUUCAGCAGGAGAAGCGAAAGUGACGUACCUGCAGAAGAAGCAACCGGCUAACGUACGUGCUAGCAAGCCG